Molecule: ribosomal RNA, 551 nt
Filed under: Fusarium sp. MJ-22
Lineage: Eukaryota; Fungi; Ascomycota; Sordariomycetes; Hypocreales; Nectriaceae
Description: eukaryotic LSU rRNA
Rfam family: 5.8S ribosomal RNA (bases 194-347)
Source: RNAcentral
AAAAUUAACAAGGUCUCCGUUGGUGAACCAGCGGAGGGAUCAUUACCGAGUUUACAACUCCCAAACCCCUGUGAACAUACCUAUACGUUGCCUCGGCGGAUCAGCCCGCGCCCCGUAAAACGGGACGGCCCGCCCGAGGACCCUAAACUCUGUUUUUAGUGGAACUUCUGAGUAAAACAAACAAAUAAAUCAAAACUUUCAACAACGGAUCUCUUGGUUCUGGCAUCGAUGAAGAACGCAGCAAAAUGCGAUAAGUAAUGUGAAUUGCAGAAUUCAGUGAAUCAUCGAAUCUUUGAACGCACAUUGCGCCCGCCAGUAUUCUGGCGGGCAUGCCUGUUCGAGCGUCAUUUCAACCCUCAAGCUCAGCUUGGUGUUGGGACUCGCGGUAACCCGCGUUCCCCAAAUCGAUUGGCGGUCACGUCGAGCUUCCAUAGCGUAGUAAUCAUACACCUCGUUACUGGUAAUCGUCGCGGCCACGCCGUUAAACCCCAACUUCUGAAUGUUGACCUCGGAUCAGGUAGGAAUACCCGCUGAACUUAAGCAUAUCAAAG